UUCGCAAUGCCCGAAAGGGUGACGAAGCGACGCCGCGUGGGUGAGGAAGGCCUUCGGGUUGUAAAGCCCUGUCAGGAGUUAAGAAAUGUAGACUCGCUAAUAUCGGGUCUAUUUGACAAAGGCUCCAAAGGAAGCCACGGCUAACUCUGUGCCAGCAGCCGCGGUAAUACAGAGGUGGCAAGCGUUGUUCGGAAUUAUUGGGCGUAAAGAGCACGCAGGUGGAUUUGUAAGUCAGACGUGAAAGCCUUCUGUUCAACGGAAGAAUUGCAUCUGAAACUACAAACCUUGAGUCUAGGAGGGGAGAAUGGAACUUCUGGUGGAGCGGUGAAAUGCGUAGAUAUCAGAAGGAACGCCGGCGGCGAAAGCGAUUCUCUGGCCUAUUACUGACACUCAGUGUGCGAAAGCUGGGGGAGCAAACGGGAUUAGAUACCCCGGUAGUCCUAGCCGUAAACGAUGGGCACUAAGUAGAGGGGUUUU
RNAcentral lists this ribosomal RNA (477 nucleotides) under Candidatus Scalindua marina (nom. nud.). RNAcentral describes it as "bacterial SSU rRNA". It matches the Rfam family "Bacterial small subunit ribosomal RNA", at positions 365 to 832 of the family's 1533-position model. The record is from RNAcentral. Lineage: Bacteria; Pseudomonadati; Planctomycetota; Candidatus Brocadiia; Candidatus Brocadiales; Candidatus Scalinduaceae.